RNAcentral lists this unclassified non-coding RNA (200 nucleotides) under soil metagenome. RNAcentral's name for it is "partial contains internal transcribed spacer 2 and large subunit ribosomal RNA". The record is from RNAcentral.
UUAAAUUCUCAACCCUUAUCGGUGGAUGUGGGGGUUGCUGGCUCCUCAGGUCAGCUCCCCUCAAAUGCAUUAGCUGGUGCCCCGUGUGGGACUGUCUAUUGGUGUGAUAAUUAUCUACGCCGUGGAUGAGCACUGCUUCCAACACCACAAUUACAUGACAAUUUGACCUCAAAUCAGGUAGGACUACCCGCUGAACUUAA